RNAcentral lists this ribosomal RNA (435 nucleotides) under uncultured bacterium. Its description in RNAcentral is "partial 16S ribosomal RNA". It matches the Rfam family "Bacterial small subunit ribosomal RNA", at positions 29 to 507 of the family's 1533-position model. The record is from RNAcentral.
AACGAACGCUGGCGGCAUGCCUAACACAUGCAAGUCGAACGAUUGCCUUCGGGUAAUAGUGGCGCACGGGUGCGUAACGCGUGGGAACCUGCCCUUAGGUUCGGAAUAACAGCUGGAAACGGCUGCUAAUACCGGAUGAUAUCGCGAGAUCAAAGAUUUAUCGCCUGAGGAUGAGCCCGCGUUGGAUUAGGUAGUUGGUGGGGUAAAGGCCUACCAAGCCGACGAUCCAUAGCUGGUCUGAGAGGAUGAUCAGCCACACUGGGACUGAGACACGGCCCAGACUCCUACGGGAGGCAGCAGUGGGGAAUAUUGGACAAUGGGCGCAAGCCUGAUCCAGCAAUGCCGCGUGAGUGAUGAAGGCCCUAGGGUUGUAAAGCUCUUUUACCCGGGAAGAUAAUGACUGUACCGGGAGAAUAAGCCCCGGCUAACUCCGUG